RNAcentral lists this ribosomal RNA (254 nucleotides) under uncultured bacterium. RNAcentral describes it as "partial 16S ribosomal RNA". It matches the Rfam family "Bacterial small subunit ribosomal RNA", at positions 524 to 776 of the family's 1533-position model. The record is from RNAcentral.
UACGUAGGAUGCAAGCGUUGUCCGGAAUUAUUGGGCGUAAAGAGCGCGCAGGCGGUAUGACAAGUCAGAUGUGAAAGAGGCCGGCUUAACCGGCAAGGGUCAUUUGAAACUGUCAGACUAGAGUGCAGCAGAGGAUAGUGGAAUUCCCGGUGUAGUGGUGAAAUGCGUAGAGAUCGGGAGGAAGGCCGGUGGCGAAGGCGGCGCUCUGGAACAUUUCUGACGCUGAGGCUCGAAAGCGUGGGGGAGCAAACAGG